RNAcentral lists this long non-coding RNA (481 nucleotides) under Panax ginseng (ginseng). Its description in RNAcentral is "long non-coding RNA (PGIN_LNC002844)". Lineage: Eukaryota; Viridiplantae; Streptophyta; Magnoliopsida; Apiales; Araliaceae. The record is from RNAcentral.
UAUCCCCAAAGUUGAGUAACCAUAACUUAUACAUAUUUUAUAACUUAUCUGACACAUGACAUCAUUAUCAUACAAGACUAUUACAAAGCUAAUCGUGCACAUUAACUUUAAGCUGGAACUGUCUUUAACUUUCCUUGUAUCCGACGCAUUCACCUUAAUCUGCAAUGUUUUAUCAUGAUAUAGCAAGGGUGAGCAUGAAAGUUGCCCAGCAAGUUUAAAUACAAUUUAAGGAUAUAUCAUGAUUGAAAGAUUUAGAAUAAUAAGCUGGCUAUAAUUCACAAUGUAGUUGUGAAUUAGCAUGAACAAACUUUUGACUGAACAAGUAUUACAUAUGAACAAUAUAUAUCUGGACCAACUGGAAAUGAAGGUGAUCAGCCUUUCAUACCUGAAUUAUACAUACAAGAUGUACAGAGCACAAUUCUACAUGGCAAUCAGUAAUGAUUAACCAUAAGCAUAACUGAAUGAAACACUCUUAGUAGAG